UCCCUGGUAGUCUUGUGGUUAGGAUUUGGCACUUUCGCUGCUGCAACCUGGGUUCGAUUCCUGGUCUGGGAA
Non-coding RNA from Sus scrofa (pig), 72 nucleotides. Lineage: Eukaryota; Metazoa; Chordata; Mammalia; Artiodactyla; Suidae. The record is from Rfam.